Salvia miltiorrhiza (redroot sage) is the source of this 941-nucleotide long non-coding RNA. RefSeq lists it as uncharacterized. The record is from RefSeq and is a predicted model, not a curated record. NCBI's taxonomy places the organism in Eukaryota, Viridiplantae, Streptophyta, Magnoliopsida, Lamiales, Lamiaceae. The transcript is spliced from 3 exons.
CCUAUGAUGAGGAAUAUUAUAAUUGAGUGAGUGCACUAAUAUUAGUGCUAUAAUUAUUUUAUUUUGGUCACAUGAAUAAUUAUACUAUGGUACUUUAUUAAUGAGUAAUAUUUCCAUAGUUUUUGUGAUUAUUAUUUAAUCACCCUUCUCACAUGAUUUAUUUUUAAUUUCCCAAGUAUGAGACUAAUUACUAAAAUUUACUAAGUGUAGAGAUUGAGAGAGUAGAGAUUUAGAGAGUAGAGAUUAGAGAGAGAGAGAUCAAGGCAUUAAUUGCCAAAUAUUUCAUAAGAUUCUCAAAUCCUCUUUAAAGAUUCACAAAUCUUUUAUAAGAUUACCAAGAUCAUUUCAUAUCUUGCAAAUUCCUCUCUCUCCUUCUCCCCUAACUUUCGACCACCACCUCUCUCCCCUUCAUCUCUCUACUUUCCACCAUUUUCCUCCAUUGAUGCACCUUCGGAGCUUCACAAAUUCAUACCAAAACUCAAAUCACCCUCUAAAUCCACCUUAAACACCUUCCAUCUCCUUAGAUUCAAGAAGAUCCAUGGAGAUUCAAUCUUGAAGUUAGUGAGAGAAAAUUUGAUAUUUGGUGUAAACUUGGACACGAGCAGAGCAGGGAAGUAAGUAACUCCGCUUUGACGGGAGUUUUGAGUAAGGUCUUCAGGCUAAGCGAGGAGUGAGAUUGGUCUGGUGCUGGUGGGGGAUCGUUAGAUGAUGUAUUUACUUUAUCGUAUUUCCUUUUUAUCGAUAAAGUCUCGAUGUGAAAUUACUUUGAAUAUGAAUCAAGUAAUAUACUCACGGUUAUGUGUCUUCAUACAUAUAAUCGGUUCGCCUUUUGCUGCGAUACUCUGCAUAUUAUGUUUCCUUAUGAAAAAUAAGCUAUACCUGUUUUGUUUUUGUUCGUGAAAUUCCUGAUAAUUAAAAAGUUAUAACGACGUUGACGAUUU